RNAcentral lists this non-coding RNA (535 nucleotides) under Pan troglodytes (chimpanzee). The record is from RNAcentral. Lineage: Eukaryota; Metazoa; Chordata; Mammalia; Primates; Hominidae.
CAGGCUGUGAAAACACUUCAGGCCAGUCCCUGAGUAGGAAUGAACAACAAGGUGAUCACCAUGCUGACAGCUAUUCCCUGUGUGAUUUACUUUAUCAUGAAGUCUAAAUUUGAUGCUGAAGUGCUAGCCUAAGCUCACUAACCUGCCAACUUAGAGAAGAAGGUAACCAUGGCUAGGAUGACUGGGAAUCUGAUGGACUCAAUUAAGAAUUUCUACAGAUGGGAAAACCAAAACUCCUUAGUGGCAAGAGGCCAAAGAUGGUCAGCGAAUUGUUGUUUCCAGCUGGUGGAAGUUGACUGCAGUUGAAUAAUAGAACAAAAACGGAGCUUCAAAAUCAUGGUGUGCCUGCUUCUUCUGAGUUCUUUUAACUGCAAGAAAUCAGCUUUGAAGAGCACCUCAAGAAUACCAUUUACAUAUGAAAGAAAAUAGGAGAUGGCUCAGAAUAAUAUGUCCAAGGCCACGCCCAGGGGUCAGGGAUUCAUGAAUUUUGUAUACAGUGUAUGAUGUUUCUAGAUUAAAAUAUUUUCAAAGGUAA